GACGAACGCUGGCGGCGUGCUUAACACAUGCAAGUCGAACGAUGAAGAAAAGAAUCGAAGCUUCGGCAGAAAUUCAUUUCGGAUUAGUGGCAGACGGGUGAGUAACGCGUGAGCAACCUACCUCUUACAAAGGGAUAGCCUCGGGAAACCGGGAUUAAUACCAUAUAACAUUGCGACGAAGCAUUUCGAUGCAAUCAAAGCUACGGCGGUACGAGAUGGGCUCGCGUCCCAUUAACCGGAUGGUGAGGUAAAGGCUCACCAUAGUGACGAUGGGUAACCGGGCUGAGAGGGUGAACGGUCACACUGGAACUGAGACACGGUCCAGACUCCUACGGGAGGCAGCAGUGGGGAAUAUUGCACAAUGGAGGGAACUCUGAUGCAGCGACGCCGCGUGAGUGAUGAAGGAAUUCGUUUCGUAAAACUCUGUUCUAUGGGAAGAAAAGGACUGUACCAUAGGAGAAAGCUCCGGCUAAAUACGUG
Molecule: ribosomal RNA, 480 nt
Filed under: uncultured bacterium
Lineage: Bacteria
Description: partial 16S ribosomal RNA
Rfam family: Bacterial small subunit ribosomal RNA
Source: RNAcentral